AUAAACCACACGAGAUGACGAAAUAUAUAGGGAAAAAAUGGCAAAUCAUCUUCCGAAGACCCACUCAGCCUUUUUUAUGAACAUGGAAAUCCUUUGUUUACCAAGAAGUGUGUGCAGGUUCCAUGAACAUUCCUCUUAGCCAAGAAUGAGACAGGGUAGGGAGAAAGGAGUGAGUUUCUUUAAUUUCUGGACAAGAAACUAGUCAUUACACAAUGAAGAAGGAACUUUUUGCCCAUAUGAGAGCAUAAUAUGGGCUAUAUGCCAACUGAAGGUAGAACAGACAUGGAUGGCCUCUUCUCCCAAGCUCCUAAGGCACUAGCUUGCUGUUUUUUUUUUUUUUUUAGAAAAUUUUUAAACUUGCCAAAUAUCAGAAUGUUUUUGUGUAUACUAAAGGCACCUUGAUCAUGGAUUGGCUUAAUCCUUUCAAAUCCCAAUGAUGUCGACAGGGAAACAGGUGGUAACAGUGAGUAAAUGUUGAGCUAUAUUUUGUUCUAUCUCCAUAGCAACAAGAUAGAAAAAGGUCUAUAGGAUACAUUGUUUCCAGAAAGGAAGAAAAGAAAAUGAGAUGUUCCUUGCUUCUUUCCAUGUGUCCUUAAGUCUCAUUUCUAGCCUUUUCCUCUAGAAAAAAAAGUAAGGAACAAAGGUACAAAACAAUCUAUUUAUUAUACAAAUAAUGUCAUGUAGGCUCUGUGAAGAUAUCUUAAGUUUAGGGUCUUUUUUAUCAUCUUCCUCUCAUACGACAGAAGGUUGUAUUAUCAGUACCAAUUCUUGAUUAUCACUUUCUUACUAGAAUAUUUUAAUGCCCCAUCCAAUGUGCAGACAUGUGACUUACCUUUAGAAUUAAGCAGAAAUUAUGAAUGCCACACCCAUGCAUAAAUCUAAGAAUCCUUACACGCUUCUGUGGUUGGUUUUGCUCCUCCUGUCACCAAAUGGCAUAUCCUUCAACCAGAUUCCUAGAAUAAAGAACAUGUGAAGAAUUGCACAUUACCCACAUUAGACACAAAGCCACUAUUUAUGUGAAGAAGAAAAUAAUGUUUGUAAUUAUGAAUACC
RNAcentral lists this long non-coding RNA (1052 nucleotides) under Canis lupus familiaris (dog). Its description in RNAcentral is "lncRNA (ENSCAFG00030004901.1)". The record is from RNAcentral. Lineage: Eukaryota; Metazoa; Chordata; Mammalia; Carnivora; Canidae.